CCCUUAGAUGUUCUGGGCCGCACGCGCGCUACACUGAUGCAUUCAACGAGUCCAACCUUGACCGAGAGGUCCGGGUAAUCUUUGAAACUGCAUCGUGAUGGGGCUAGAUUAUUGCAAUUAUUAAUCUUCAACGAGGAAUUCCUAGUAAACGCAAGUCAUCAGCUUGCAUUGAUUACGUCCCUGCCCUUUGUACACACCGCCCGUCGCACCUACCGAUUGAAUGGUCCGGUGAAAUCUUGGGAUUUUGUUUUGUUUGCAUUUAUUUGUAUCGAGACGAGAGAACUUGAGUAAACCUUACCAUUUAGAGGAAGGUGAAGUCGUAACA
This 325-nucleotide ribosomal RNA is filed under the name uncultured eukaryote. RNAcentral's name for it is "partial 18S ribosomal RNA". It matches the Rfam family "Eukaryotic small subunit ribosomal RNA", at positions 1470 to 1796 of the family's 1831-position model. The record is from RNAcentral.